Molecule: unclassified non-coding RNA, 253 nt
Filed under: uncultured bacterium
Lineage: Bacteria
Description: contains 16S-23S intergenic spacer region
Rfam family: Bacterial small subunit ribosomal RNA
Source: RNAcentral
UACAGAGGUGGCAAGCGUUGUUCGGAUUUAUUGGGCGUAAAGGGUUCGUAGGCGGUCCGGAAAGUCAGAUGUGAAAUCCUACAGCUUAACUGUGGAACUGCAUUUGAAACUCCCGGACUAGAGUGUGAGAGGGGUGAAGGGAAUUCCCGGUGUAAGGGUGAAAUCUGCAGAGAUCGGGAGGAACACCAGUCGCGAAGGCGCUUCACUGGCUCACUACUGACGCUCAGGGACGAAAGCUAGGGUAGCAAACGGG